CCCAGACUCCUACGGGAGGCAGGCAGUGGGGAAUUUUGGACAAUGGGCGAAAGCCUGAUCCAGCAAUGCCGCGUGUGUGAAGAAGGCCUUCGGGUUGUAAAGCACUUUUGUCCGGAAAGAAAUCCUUGGCUCUAAUACAGUCGGGGGAUGACGGUACCGGAAGAAUAAGCACCGGCUAACUACGUGCCAGCAGCCGCGGUAAUACGUAGGGUGCAAGCGUUAAUCGGAAUUACUGGGCGUAAAGCGUGCGCAGGCGGUUUGCUAAGACCGAUGUGAAAUCCCCGGGCUCAACCUGGGAACUGCAUUGGUGACUGGCAGGCUAGAGUAUGGCAGAGGGGGGUAGAAUUCCACGUGUAGCAGUGAAAUGCGUAGAGAUGUGGAGGAAUACCGAUGGCGAAGGCAGCCCCCUGGGCCAAUACUGACGCUCAUGCACGAAAGCGUGGGGAGCAAACAGGAUUAGAUACCCUGGUAGUCCACGCCCUAAACGAUGUCAACUAGUUGUUGGGGAUUCAUUUCCUUAGUAACGUAGCUAACGCGUGAAGUUGACCGCCUGGGGAGUACGGUCGCAAGAUUAAAACUCAAAGGAAUUGACGGGGACCCGCACAAGCGGUGGAUGAUGUGGAUUAAUUCGAUGCAACGCGAAAAACCUUACCUACCCUUGACAUGGUCGGAAUCCCGCUGAGAGGUGGGAGUGCUCGAAAGAGAACCGGCGCACAGGUGCUGCAUGGCUGUCGUCAGCUCGUGUCGUGAGAUGUUGGGUUAAGUCCCGCAACGAGCGCAACCCUUGUCCUUAGUUGCUACGCAAGAGCACUCUAAGGAGACUGCCGGUGACAAACCGGAGGAAGGUGGGGAUGACGUCAAGUCCUCAUGGCCCUUAUGGGUAGGGCUUCACACGUCAUACAAUGGUCGGAACAGAGGGUUGCCAACCCGCGAGGGGGAGCUAAUCCCAGAAAACCGAUCGUAGUCCGGAAAGAGUUCUGCAACUCGAGUGCAUGAAGCUGG
RNAcentral lists this ribosomal RNA (1002 nucleotides) under Burkholderia sp. AR3. RNAcentral describes it as "bacterial SSU rRNA". It matches the Rfam family "Bacterial small subunit ribosomal RNA", at positions 330 to 1329 of the family's 1533-position model. The record is from RNAcentral. Lineage: Bacteria; Pseudomonadati; Pseudomonadota; Betaproteobacteria; Burkholderiales; Burkholderiaceae.